GACGAACGCUGGCGGCGUGCUUAACACAUGCAAGUCGAACGGAAAGGCCCUGCUCUUGCGGGGUGCUCGAGUGGCGAACGGGUGAGUAACACGUGAGUAACCUGCCCUUGACUUUGGGAUAACUUCAGGAAACUGGGGCUAAUAUCGGAUAGGAGCUCCUGCUGCAUGGUGGGGGUUGGAAAGUUUCGGCGGUUGGGGAUGGACUCGCGGCUUAUCAGCUUGUUGGUGGGGUAGUGGCUUACCAAGGCUUUGACGGGUAGCCGGCCUGAGAGGGGGACCAGCGACAUGGGGACUAAGAGACGGCCCAGACUCCUACGGGAGGCAGCGGGGGGGAAUAUUGCACAAUGGGCGGAAGCCUGAUGCAGCAACGCCGCGUGCGGGAUGACGGCCUUCGGGUUGUAAACCGCUUUCGCCGGUGACGAAGCGUGAGUGACGGUAAUGGGUAAAGAAGCACCGGCUAACUACGUG
RNAcentral lists this ribosomal RNA (468 nucleotides) under uncultured bacterium. RNAcentral's name for it is "partial 16S ribosomal RNA". It matches the Rfam family "Bacterial small subunit ribosomal RNA", at positions 28 to 507 of the family's 1533-position model. The record is from RNAcentral.